GAGGAGCUGCCCUUAGUACGAGAGGACCGGGGUGGACUGGCCUCUGGUGUAUCUGUUGAACUAUCAAGUUCAUGGCAGAGUAGCCAAGCCGGGACGGGAUAAACGCUGAAGGCAUCUAAGCGUGAAGCUAUACGCAAGUAGUAAGACCCCUUGAAGACGACGAGGUAGAUAGGGCAGAGGUGGAAGUGUAGUAAUACAUGAAGCUGACUGUUACUAAUCGGUCGAGGGCUUAACCAAAA
Molecule: ribosomal RNA, 239 nt
Filed under: Clostridium sp. AF27-5AA
Lineage: Bacteria; Bacillati; Bacillota; Clostridia; Eubacteriales; Clostridiaceae
Description: partial 23S ribosomal RNA
Rfam family: Bacterial large subunit ribosomal RNA
Source: RNAcentral